This 656-nucleotide small RNA is filed under the name Pongo abelii (Sumatran orangutan). Its description in RNAcentral is "retained intron". The record is from RNAcentral. Lineage: Eukaryota; Metazoa; Chordata; Mammalia; Primates; Hominidae.
GCUUCGCUUUCUUUUGGUUUAUCUUCAUGGAGAUGAUCACCAGGACUCUGAUGAGUUUUGUCGCAACACACUCUGUGCACCUGAAGUUAUUUCACUAAUAAACACUAGGAUGCUCUUCUGGGCAUGCUCUACAAACAAACCUGAGGGAUACAGGGUCUCACAGGCUUUACGAGAGAACACCUAUCCAUUCCUGGCCAUGAUUAUGCUGAAGGAUCGAAGAAUGACUGUGGUGGGACGGCUAGAAGGCCUCAUUCAACCUGAUGACCUCAUUAACCAACUGACAUUUAUCAUGGAUGCUAACCAGACUUACCUGGUGUCAGAACGCCUAGAAAGGUACAAGGGAGUUUCCUUCUGGAACAAAGAGAGACCAGUUGUAAAUUUGAAGGGCUGACCUCUGGGGCUCUACCAAUCCUGACUUCUUCUGUGCAUCAGGCCGCUAUUAGCUUUUAGCUUUGCCCAUUUAUUGUCAAAAUAUUUACAUAUAUAGACCUAAAUUACUCUAUAUCAGGUAAUCUGUUCUUAGAGAUGUUCAAAAUAAAGACAAGGGCUGGGUGCAGUGGCUAACACCUGAAAUCCUAGCACAUUAGGAGGCUGAGGCAGGAGGAUUACUUGAAUCCAGACUGGGCAGCAAAGCGAGACCCCAUCUCUACAAAAAA